UCACUUCCGGCAGCAUGUUUUCAAAACUAUGCAGACGAAUUCAAAGACGAACUCUGUCAAAUUUUCAAACAUUUGUGCGUCAGAAGCAAAAACAGACAAUAGUGACACCAAACCAGAUCUACUCCAACACUUUUUACAGAUAUUCGUUGGUUAUAAACCAGUUAGAAAACACACUAUUAAACAUUUUAAAACGGCGAAAUACCGGCUUCUCAUUCAAGACCUUUGCUGUGCCGUUUGUAGGAUCAUUGGCACUGAUAGGAAUCAAAGCAAAUUGUUCCGGGAAUUUUGAUGCAAAUC
Molecule: long non-coding RNA, 297 nt
Filed under: Mytilus galloprovincialis (Mediterranean mussel)
Lineage: Eukaryota; Metazoa; Mollusca; Bivalvia; Mytilida; Mytilidae
Source: RNAcentral